RNAcentral lists this ribosomal RNA (241 nucleotides) under uncultured bacterium. Its description in RNAcentral is "partial 16S ribosomal RNA". It matches the Rfam family "Bacterial small subunit ribosomal RNA", at positions 536 to 776 of the family's 1533-position model. The record is from RNAcentral.
UAGCGUUGUCCGGAAUCAUUGGGCGUAAAGCGCGUGUAGGCGGUCCGGUAAGUCCGCUGUGAAAGUCGGGGGCUCAACCCUCGGAUGCCGGUGGAUACUGUCGGGCUUGAGUACGGAAGAGGCGAGUGGAAUUCCUGGUGUAGCGGUGAAAUGCGCAGAUAUCAGGAGGAACACCAAUUGCGAAGGCAGCUCGCUGGGACGUUACUGACGCUGAGACGCGAAAGCGUGGGGAGCAAACAGG